RNAcentral lists this microRNA (24 nucleotides) under Brachypodium distachyon (stiff brome). RNAcentral's name for it is "bdi-miR7724a-5p". Lineage: Eukaryota; Viridiplantae; Streptophyta; Magnoliopsida; Poales; Poaceae. The record is from miRBase by way of RNAcentral.
UGAACAUGUACAUGCUGGCCAACC